CCUACGGGGGGCAGCAGUGGGGAAUAUUGGACAAUGGGGGGAACCCUGAUCCAGCCAUGCCGCGUGUGUGAAGAAGGCCCUCGGGUUGUAAAGCACUUUCAGUGAGGAAGAACGCCUGGUGGUUAAUACCCAUCAGGAAAGACAUCACUCACAGAAGAAGCACCGGCUAACUCCGUGCCAGCAGCCGCGGUAAUACGGAGGGUGCGAGCGUUAAUCGGAAUUACUGGGCGUAAAGCGCGCGUAGGUGGCUUGAUAAGCCGGUUGUGAAAGCCCCGGGCUCAACCUGGGAACGGCAUCCGGAACUGUCAAGCUAGAGUGCAGGAGAGGAAGGUAGAAUUCCCGGUGUAGCGGUGAAAUGCGUAGAGAUCGGGAGGAAUACCAGUGGCGAAGGCGGCCUUCUGGGCUGACACUGACACUGAGGUGCGAAAGCGUGGGUAGCAAACAGGAUUAGAUACCCUAGUAGUC
This 465-nucleotide ribosomal RNA is filed under the name Vreelandella stevensii. RNAcentral describes it as "partial 16S ribosomal RNA". It matches the Rfam family "Bacterial small subunit ribosomal RNA", at positions 338 to 795 of the family's 1533-position model. Lineage: Bacteria; Pseudomonadati; Pseudomonadota; Gammaproteobacteria; Oceanospirillales; Halomonadaceae. The record is from RNAcentral.